CAGUCGAGCGAAUGGAUUGAGAGCUUGCUCUCAAGAAGUUAGCGGCGGACGGGUGAGUAACACGUGGGUAACCUGCCCAUAAGACUGGGAUAACUCCGGGAAACCGGGGCUAAUACCGGAUAACAUUUUGAACCGCAUGGUUCGAAAUUGAAAGGCGGCUUCGGCUGUCACUUAUGGAUGGACCCGCGUCGCAUUAGCUAGUUGGUGAGGUAACGGCUCACCAAGGCAACGAUGCGUAGCCGACCUGAGAGGGUGAUCGGCCACACUGGGACUGAGACACGGCCCAGACUCCUACGGGAGGCAGCAGUAGGGAAUCUUCCGCAAUGGACGAAAGUCUGACGGAGCAACGCCGCGUGAGUGAUGAAGGCUUUCGGGUCGUAAAACUCUGUUGUUAGGGAAGAACAAGUGCUAGUUGAAUAAGCUGGCACCUUGACGGUACCUAACCAGAAAGCCACGGCUAACUACGUGCCAGCAGCCGCGGUAAUACGUAGGUGGCAAGCGUUAUCCG
This 508-nucleotide ribosomal RNA is filed under the name Bacillus sp. (in: firmicutes). RNAcentral describes it as "bacterial SSU rRNA". It matches the Rfam family "Bacterial small subunit ribosomal RNA", at positions 59 to 547 of the family's 1533-position model. The record is from RNAcentral. Lineage: Bacteria; Bacillati; Bacillota; Bacilli; Caryophanales; Bacillaceae.